RNAcentral lists this ribosomal RNA (497 nucleotides) under uncultured bacterium. Its description in RNAcentral is "partial 16S ribosomal RNA". It matches the Rfam family "Bacterial small subunit ribosomal RNA", at positions 28 to 507 of the family's 1533-position model. The record is from RNAcentral.
GAUGAACGCUGGCGGCGUGCCUAAUACAUGCAAGUCGAGCGAACAGACGAGGAGCUUGCUCCUCUGACGUUAGCGGCGGACGGGUGAGUAACACGUGGAUAACCUACCUAUAAGACUGGGAUCUCUUCGGGAAACCGGAGCUAAUACCGGAUAAUAUAUUGAACCGCAUGGUUCAAUAGUGAAAGACGGCUUUGCUGUCACUAAUAGAUGGAUCCGCGCCGCAUUAGCUAGUUGGUAAGGUAACGGCUUACCAAGGCAACGAUGCGUAGCCGACCUGAGAGGGUGAUCGGCCACACUGGAACUGAGACACGGCCCAGACUCCUACGGGAGGCAGCAGUAGGGAAUCUUCCGCAAUGGGCGAAAGCUUGACGGAGCAACGCCGCGUGAGUGAUGAAGGUCUUCGGAUCGUAAAACUCUGUUAUUAGGGAAGAACAAAUGUGUAAGUAACUAUGCACGUCUUGACGGUACCUGAUCAGAAAGCCACGGCUAACUACGUG